CAGUCGCCGCGGUAAUACGAAGGGGGCUAGCGUUGUUCGGAUUUACUGGGCGUAAAGCGCACGUAGGCGGACUUUUAAGUCAGGGGUGAAAUCCCGGGGCUCAACCCCGGAACUGCCUUUGAUACUGGGAGUCUUGAGUUCGAGAGAGGUGAGUGGAAUUGCGAGUGUAGAGGUGAAAUUCGUAGAUAUUCGCAGGAACACCAGUGGCGAAGGCGGCUCACUGGCUCGAUACUGACGCUGAGGUGCGAAAGCGUGGGGAGCAAACAGGAUUAGAUACCCCUGUAGUCCCUGUCUCUUAUAC
RNAcentral lists this ribosomal RNA (301 nucleotides) under uncultured bacterium. RNAcentral's name for it is "partial 16S ribosomal RNA". It matches the Rfam family "Bacterial small subunit ribosomal RNA", at positions 509 to 807 of the family's 1533-position model. The record is from RNAcentral.